Molecule: ribosomal RNA, 253 nt
Filed under: uncultured bacterium
Lineage: Bacteria
Description: partial 16S ribosomal RNA
Rfam family: Bacterial small subunit ribosomal RNA
Source: RNAcentral
UACAGAGGUCUCAAGCGUUGCUCGGAUUCAUUGGGCGUAAAGGGUGCGUAGGCGGCGCGGUAAGUCGGGUGUGAAAUUUCGAGGCUUAACUUCGAAACUGCAUUCGAUACUGCCGUGCUUGAGGACUGGAGAGGAGACUGGAAUUUACGGUGUAGCGGUGAAAUGCGUAGAUAUCGUAAGGAAGACCAGUGGCGAAGGCGGGUCUCUGGACAGUUCCUGACGCUGAGGCACGAAGGCCAGGGGAGCAAGCGGG